Molecule: ribosomal RNA, 253 nt
Filed under: uncultured bacterium
Lineage: Bacteria
Description: partial 16S ribosomal RNA
Rfam family: Bacterial small subunit ribosomal RNA
Source: RNAcentral
UACGUAGGCAGCGAGCGUUGUUCGGAGUUACUGGGCGUAAAGCGUGCGUAGGCGGUUGGCAAAGUCAGCUGUGAAAGCCCCGGGCUUAACCUGGGAAUGGCGGUUGAAACUAGUCGACUGGAAUCUGGCAGAGGGGGGUGGAAUUCCACGUGUAGCAGUGAAAUGCGUAGAGAUGUGGAGGAACACCGAUGGCGAAGGCAGCCCCCUGGGCUGAGAUUGACGCUCAGGCACGAAAGCGUGGGGAGCAAACAGG